AGGUCAAGGAAGAAAGGGCGUACGGAGAAUGCCUGGGCACAGAGAGGCGAUGAAGGACGCAGCGAACAGCGAAAUGCGGCGGCGAGCGGUAAGCACGCGAUGACCCGCCGAUAUCCGAAUGGGGAAACCCCUCCGCUUUCGAAGCGGAGACCGCAUGACGACCGUCAUGACGGGGCAAUACGCAGGGAACUGAAACAUCUAAGUACCUGCAGGAAGAGAAAGAGAAGUCGAUUCCGUAAGUAGCGGCGAGCGAAAGCGGAGGAGCCCAAACCGGACACAGUCCGGGGUUGUAGGACCGCCGGUAAAGAUGACAUGAAGAGUCAGGAGAAUCCCAUGGGAAGGGGAUCCGAAGAGGGUGAGAGACCCGUAUCCGAAGGCUUGACAUGCGUCGAGGUNNNNNNNNNNNNNNNNNNNNNNNNNNNNNNNNNNNNNNNNNNNNNNNNNNNNNNNNNNNNNNNNNNNNNNNNNNNNNNNNNNNNNNNNNNNNNNNGGAUAGGAAUGUGGUAGGGGAGCAUUGCAUGCAGCGGAGAAGCAUGACCGAAAGGGCAUGUGGAGCGCAUGGAAGAGAGAAUGCCGGCGUGAGUAGCGGCACGUGGGUGAGAAUCCCACGCACCGAUGGCCCAAGGUCUCCAGAGGAAGGCUCGUCCUCUCUGGGAUAGUCGGGACCUAAGGCGAGGCCGAAAGGCGUAGCCGAUGGACGACGGGUGGAUAUUCCCGUACCCGAUGUGUGGCGAUGGAGUGACGGAGAAGGCUCAGGCAACCAGCUGGUGGAAUAGCUGGGGCAAGCGAGAUACCUGCGCACCAGGGAAAUCCGGUGCGCAUAAGGGGAAGGCGCGAUGCAUACGGAAAGCUUCGGCAAGUACGGAAAAGCUGAGAGCAGGCUUCCAGGAAAAGCUUCUAGCACAACACACAUCGGCCCGUACCGAAAAUGGACACACAUGGGCAAGGAGAGAAUCCUGAGGUGAGCGAGAGAACUAUAGCUAAGGAACUCUGCAAAAUGACCCCGUAACUUAGGGAGAAGGGGUGCUCCAGAAAUGGAGCCGCAGUAAAACGGCCCAAGCGACUGUUUACCAAAAACACAGCUCUCUGCGAAGGCGCAAGCCGAAGUAUAGGGGGUGACGCCUGCCCGGUGCUGGAAGGUCAAGGGGAGCUGUCAGCGCAAGCGAAGCAGCGAGCCGAAGCCCCAGUAAACGGCGGCCGUAACUAUAACGGUCCUAAGGUAGCGAAAUUCCUUGUCGGGCAAGUUCCGACCCGCACGAAAGGCGUAACGAUUUGGGCGCUGUCUCAGCUGUAGACUCGGUGAAGUCUUAGUACCUGUGAAGAUGCAGGUUGCCCGCGACUAGACGGAAAGACCCCAUGGAGCUUCACUGCAGGUUGACAUUGGGCUUGGAUGCAUGAUGUACAGGAUAGGUGGGAGGCUGUGAGCCGUGCGCGCCAGCGUACGGGGAGCCGCUGUUGGGAUACCACCCUUCAUGCAUCUAGGUCCUAACCGGAGGCAACGGGCCACGGGACAGUGUCAGUCGGGCAGUUUGACUGGGGCGGUCGCCUCCCAAAGAGUAACGGAGGCGCCCAAAGAUACCCUCAGCAUGGAUGGAAACCAUGCAUAGAGUGCAAAGGCAUAAGGGUGUCUGACUGCGAGACAUACAGGUCGAGCAGGGACGAAAGUCGGGCUUAGUGAUCCGGCGGAUCCGAAUGGAAGGGCCGUCGCUCAACGGAUAAAAGCUACCCUGGGGAUAACAGGCUGAUCUCCCCCAAGAGUUCACAUCGACGGGGAGGUUUGGCACCUCGAUGUCGGCUCAUCGCAUCCUGGAGCUGAAGUCGGUUCCAAGGGUUGGGCUGUUCGCCCAUUAAAGCGGUACGCGAGCUGGGUUCAGAACGUCGUGAGACAGUUCGGUCCCUAUCUGUCGUGGGCGCAGGAGGUUUGAGGAGAGCUGCCCCUAGUACGAGAGGACCGGGGUGGACGGACCGAUGGUGCACCAGUUGUCACGCCAGUGGCACAGCUGGGCAGCCAAGUCCGGACGGGAUAAGCGCUGAAGGCAUCUAAGCGUGAAGCCCCCUCCAAGAUGAGACCUCCCAUUGGCGACAAGUAAGGCCCCUCGAAGACGACGAGGUUGAUAGGCCGCGAGUGCAAGCGCAGCGAUGUGCUUAGCGGGGCGGUACUAAUAGGCCGAGGACUUGGCCAAG
RNAcentral lists this ribosomal RNA (2184 nucleotides) under Coprobacillus sp. K06. RNAcentral describes it as "23S ribosomal RNA". It matches the Rfam family "Bacterial large subunit ribosomal RNA". The record is from RNAcentral. Lineage: Bacteria; Bacillati; Bacillota; Erysipelotrichia; Erysipelotrichales; Coprobacillaceae.